AGAGUUUGAUCAUGGCUCAGGAUGAACGUUGGCGGCGUGCCUAAUACAUGCAAGUCGAACGAAGACUGUAGUAUACUGUCUUAGUGGCGAACGGGUGAGUAACGCGUGGGUGACCUGCCCCGAAGUGUGGGAUAACAGUCCGAAAGGAUUGCUAAUACUGCAUAAUAUCCAAGAGAUUAGAUGCUUUUGGAUUAAAAGGAGUAAUUCGCUUCGGGAGGGGCCCGCGUCCCAUCAGCUAGUUGGUAAGGUAAUGGCUUACCAAGGCGAUGACGGGUAGGGGACCUGAGAGGGUGGCCCCCCACAAUGGAACUGAAACACGGUCCAUACACCUACGGGUGGCAGCAGUAGGGAAUAUUAGUAAUGGGCGAAAGCCUGAACUAGCAACGCCGCGUGUGCGAAGAAGGCCUUCGGGUCGUAAAGCACUUUUUGAGAGGAUGAGGAAGGACGGUACUCUCAGAAUAAGUCUCGGCUAACUACGUG
RNAcentral lists this ribosomal RNA (480 nucleotides) under uncultured bacterium. RNAcentral describes it as "bacterial SSU rRNA". It matches the Rfam family "Bacterial small subunit ribosomal RNA", at positions 8 to 507 of the family's 1533-position model. The record is from RNAcentral.